Molecule: long non-coding RNA, 478 nt
Organism: Lepisosteus oculatus (spotted gar)
Lineage: Eukaryota; Metazoa; Chordata; Actinopteri; Semionotiformes; Lepisosteidae
Source: RefSeq, a predicted model, not a curated record
UUGGUCUCCUUUAAAAAAUGUUCUGGUAGGCGCAUGUCGUCUUUAGCUUUAUAUAGGGGUUUUGCAGCCAAAGGAAAAUCAUGUCGGACAAAAGUCUCUUUGUAUUAGGGAAGGAAUAGCUCAAAAGUAAUCGAGAGAAGGCAUCUGAACUUCAGACUCCCCAGCCUUCCUGUCCGCCACAACCGUCUGAAGGCCGAAACGCAGCGCUCCCGUGUAGCGUGAAGCUGGGGUGAUGAGCGGCGAAUUCAAAGCGGCAGUUGAUCCCGGGGAGCAGCCGGACUCACCUCGCAGUCCCGGGUUACCCACCGUCUCUCCGGCUGUGUCCUGAAAAGAAGCGCUUCCUCUCCCGGGGCUCCAGACUGCGGACCGCCUGAGCGAUGUUCAGUACUGGAUAUUAACAGCCAGCUGGGUUAUUCCUAUGCGGUUUCCUCUUGUUUAGUUAUUGCAAUAAACUCGUGUCCUUGGAUUGCUUUUGAAA